ACACAGUUUUGGUCCUAAACUUGCCAUUGUCUUUAAUCAGGAUUAUACAUGCAAGCCUCCACACACCAGUGAGAAUGCCCACACACCCCCAAACAGAAAGCCGGAGCAGGUAUCAGGAUCAACAAAUCAAGCCAACGACACCUUGCUAAAGCCACCCCCCCACGGGACCUCAGCAGUAAUUAACAUUAAAACAUAAGCGAAAGCUUGACUUGGCCAUGAUUAAAAUAGUCGGUAAAUUUCGUGCCAGCCACCGCGGUUAUACGAGAGACUAAAAACAAUGACUAUCGGCGUAAAGCGUGACAAGAGAUUUUAAGUCAUAAACCUUAAAGAAGAACCACUACAAAGCCGUAAAACGCCCCCACAAGUGGGAACCACAAAACCUUUAAACAAAAGACUACUUACUUCACGAAAGCUAAGAAACAAACUGGGAUUAGAUACCCCACUAUCCUAGCCCUAAACUUAGACAGUACAAACACAAUACUGUCCGCCAGAGAACUACAAGCGAAAAACUCAAAACUCUAAGGACUUGGCGGUGCUCCACAUCAACCUAGAGGAGCCUGUCCUAUAAUCGAUACCCCACGUUAAACCUUACCAUCUUUAGCCCCUCAACCUAUAUACCGCCGUCGUCAGCCUACCUUAUGAAAGAAGUACAGUAAGCAAAGCAGUCAAAAACUAACACGUCAGGUCAAGGUGUAGUACAUAAGAUGGAAGAGAUGGGCUACAUUUUCUAAACCAGAAUACACGAACGGGGUAAUGAAAUAAACCCCUAAAGGUGGAUUUAGCAGUAAGAUGUAUAAGAAACACCAUCUUAAAUUCGCCCUGGAGCGCGCACACACCGC
Molecule: ribosomal RNA, 839 nt
Filed under: Gongylomorphus bojerii (Bojer's skink)
Lineage: Eukaryota; Metazoa; Chordata; Lepidosauria; Squamata; Scincidae
Description: partial 12S ribosomal RNA
Rfam family: Bacterial small subunit ribosomal RNA
Source: RNAcentral